Molecule: ribosomal RNA, 422 nt
Filed under: uncultured bacterium
Lineage: Bacteria
Description: bacterial SSU rRNA
Rfam family: Bacterial small subunit ribosomal RNA
Source: RNAcentral
UGAGGAAUAUUGGGCAAUGCUCGCAAGGGUGACCCAGCAACGCCGCGUGGAGGAUGAAUGUCGUAAGAUUGUAAACUCCUGUUAGAGGGGAAGAAUAGUACCGGUUGGACCGGUAUAUGACUGUACCCUCAGAGAAAGCCCCGGCUAACUACGUGCCAGCAGCCGCGGUAAUACGUAGGGGGCAAGCGUUGUCCGGAUUUACUGGGUGUAAAGGGCGCGCAGGCGGAAUGGAAAGUCAGUGGUGAAAUCCUACAGCUUAACUGUAGAACUGCCUUUGAUACUUUCAUUCUUGAGUUCGGGAGAGAGAGACGGAAUUCCAGGUGUAGUGGUGAAAUACGUAGAUAUCUGGAAGAACACCAGUUGCGAAGGCGGUCUCUUGGUCCGAUACUGACGCUGAGGCGCGAAAGCGUGGGGAGCAAACA